Non-coding RNA from Podarcis lilfordi (Lilford's wall lizard), 77 nucleotides. The record is from the annotation of a GenBank genome assembly. NCBI's taxonomy places the organism in Eukaryota, Metazoa, Chordata, Lepidosauria, Squamata, Lacertidae.
ACACCAGCAUCCUGCAGUCAGGAUAGAACAUGAGACUUUUAAUCUCAGGGUUGUGAGUUUGAGCCUCACGUUGGGUG